RNAcentral lists this Piwi-interacting RNA (8675 nucleotides) under Cordylochernes scorpioides. The stretch from base 4005 to 4080 matches the Rfam family "mir-252 microRNA precursor family". The record is from RNAcentral. Lineage: Eukaryota; Metazoa; Arthropoda; Arachnida; Pseudoscorpiones; Chernetidae.
AUAGGGUGUGCGCCGAAAGCCUACUUUCUGUUAAUCCUUAGUCAUCAAAUAUCUAACAUGGAACGUAUCAAGUAGUGGUUUGAGAAGAUAGACACAUGUUGGCGAUUUCACUAGCCCCGCUUCAGUCAGUGUGAUGCGGCGGGGAUUGGUAGUAGCAGAUAUAGCAUGGACCCUACAAAGUAAUUGUCGAUUUCACUAGCCCCGCUUCAGUCAGUGUGAUGCGGCGGGGAUUGGUAGUAGCAGAUAUAGCAUGGACUCUACAAAGUAAUUGGCGAUUUCACUAGCCCCGCUUCAGUCAGUGUGAUGCGGCGGGGAUUGGUAGUAGCAGAUAUAGCAUGGACCCUACAAAGUAAUUGGCGAUUUCACUAGCCCCGCUUCAGUCAGUGUGAUGCGGCGGGAAUUGGUAGUUGUGGAUAUAGCAUGGACCCUACAAAGUAAUUGGCGAUUUCACUAGCCCCGCUUCAGUCAGUGUGAUGCGGCGGGAAUUGGUAGUUGUGGAUAUAGCAUGGACUCUACAAAGUAAUUGGCGAUUUCACUAGCCCCGCUUCAGCCAGUGUGAUGCGGCGGGAAUUGGUAGUUGUGGAUAUAGCAUGGACUCUACAAAGUAAUUGGCGAUUUCACUAGCCCCGCUUCAGUCAGUGUGAUGCGGCGGGAAUUGGUAGUUGUGGAUAUAGCAUGGACCCUACAAAGUAAUUGGCGAUUUCCCUCGCUUCAGCCAGUGUGAUGUAGUAUACUUCACAAACUGGUAGUUUGAGUCGGCACAGAGAAGCCAUUCGGAGAUCUCCUGAGCCCCAAACUUCCACAACAUUAGCGGCGAUAAUUGAUGGCAAUCAUUUUUUCUUAUAAAAAAAAAUAUCUUGAAAACAUUCUUGUUGACCCAACAAUAAAGAUGCUACCACUUCAAUACCAUAAAAUUAUUAUGAAAUAUAUAUUCCAAAUUUUGAAAAUAGAGCAAUCCAUAAAUAAAUCUUUAAAUAAAAAGGCAUAUAUUGGAUGUAUUUGAUAUAUAUUGGAUAUGAUAUGAUAUAUAUUGAAUGUAUAUUUACCUUCCAAUGGCUUAACGACUACCAGUUGUCUUCAUAUUUGAUAGGAAUAUCAUACUAAGUCACUCAGGGACGUUGACACUGUAGUAACCUUUAAUGUCACAAGGAGUGUAAUAAAGUCUCACAUGUUUUCUCAGACAAAAGUCUUCAUAGAGAUAUAAAUUCACCUUUAUUCUCUUGUAUUCCUUCGCGCAGAAAUAUUUACCCAAACAUUAUUUAUUUUAAUUGCAUAUAUGGAAAAAUAUUUAAUGCUUGUAAAUAUUUGCGAGCGAUGAAACCAAUUUACUUCGUUCAUAAUAUAUUUUAUCAUAAACACAAGGUAAUACGAACAAAUUCAAAUAAAUAAAUAAUGUGUGACGUUUCGGUAACAGCGUUGUUACCAUCUUCAGACAAAAGUGCUGUUUAUUUAUUUGGAUUUGGUCUUAUUACCUUGUGUUUAUAAUCUAUAAUCCAAAUUGUGCCUUAUCAUAUUUUAUCAUAAAUAUUUCCACUAUAAUUUCUUUACAUAUUCAUCCGAAUAAAGAAAAAUUGUUGAAACAAUAGCUUAUUGCUUUCCUCUUUUAUUGAAAAAAAAUCCCCCUAAAUAGUAAAUAAAAUGAAAAAUGUAACAAAUCAUAUAUACCCUUAAAAAGAGACAGAAAAUUCGAAGAGUCCAGUUGUCCCUGAUAUCCACAUCGCCAUCUGAGGGACGACCAUAGACAUAAUAGACCGGCGGUGUGCCCCGGACGUCCUUCCGGGGUCCAUUAUGUCCCACCGUCCCUUCCGUGCCUCACCUCCGACCGAAAUCAAUUUGAAACUCAACGUUUGUCCAUUAAUGAAGUUGAAGAUACUCAUUUGAAACAUUUUGGAACCUGGAGAUCUACCAAAGACAGAGCCAACGUGCCACGUUUUGAUCAAAAUGGCAAAUAUUGACUCAUACCAAAGAUACAUCACCAUUGUUGAAAUAUCCAAGACGAUUGAGUCAAUAUAUAAAUAAAACUUACUCUUUUUGAAAGAGAGACAAUAACUAGAUUGACUUUGCAAUAUAGAAUGUUUACCUAUAACCUUUUUAUAAGGUGUCAAGAUUUCUGUCAAAUUUAAGAAAGGAAUGAAGAUAAUUUCCACGUGCAGAAUUUUUAAGAAGGCUGAAUUAUCGAUGUGGAUGACUGAAUACGUUGAAUAGGCUUUUCUUCCAUUGAUGAUAAUGAUGCAGAUCCUGACGUACGUGGUCUGCGAGAUGGCACGAAGGAACUACAUUACUAUUUGUAUUUGAAGACAUAAUGGAACUUCUUUUGAGAACAAAUUUCAUUCUUUCGCGCAAAAUUCAAAACUAUUUCAACCAUACUCUGAUCGAAGUAGGCUGAAUUGAAUUCGGCCCGAUAGCCUAAUAAAAAAAGUGGAGGCUUGCGCGAAAAAAAUCAAAAUCAUUGGCCAUCUCAAUUCACUGAUAAUAUAACAGAUUUAUUUCUUCAAAUUCUUCUCGAGAAAUGGCUAUGGGCACCAGAUUGGAAUCUUACCUUGUGUGGCAGACAUUCUAGCAUUCCAGCACUUAGAUUUGCUCAAAAUUCAAAUAUGAUCAAAAUUGGCGUUCUAAACUGUCUUGAAAUCGUCAUUUUCUUGUGCUGAUAAUUGGCAGCAGGUCUAAGGCUGGAGUUUCCUCCGGAUGUCGCGUCAAUUCCGUCCGUGGAGCCUGCACGUGAGUUCACUUCUUUCUUUCAGCUUAGUUUCUUCACAGAGAGGAUUGUUGUUGUCGUGUCCAAAGAAGAGUCUCAGAUGUCUCCAGGCAUCUCCAUCACAGCAGCAGAGGAUUCACUUUGUGUAAUUGAUCGACACAAACAUGGGAGGGUCGCCAUUUUAUAAUAAUGAACAUUUAAGGAAUCUCUAUUAGAUUUCUUAUGCAUGGGCCUCUCUAUUAGACAAGAUAUAUUUUGACUAAAUAUGACACAGCCCUAUAUAUGACUUAUUAUAAAGAGAAAUCAAUAAGAAUAUAUACCAUCCAAGACACACAAUAUUGUCUACCAGGUAUCGGUUACUACGUUAUUAUCGUACAAUAGAAUUCUUUAUUAUUUUUUUUUUCGGUAGAAAACCUCAUCAAUUUUUCAGAAUCCAUUAUUAAAUAAAAAUAUAUUCAUUGUGGGUGUAUGAAAAUAUUUUUGACAAUUGAAAUUAGGUAAAUAAAUGAAAUAUAUAAUUCACUACUUAUCCAAACAUUCUAAAUCUGAAGCCAAGAUGCUACAGGCGUGAAAUCUACACAAUAGGAAGCUGCUGUGAUAUGAGAAUGAUUAGAUCUUUAACGCAUUUAUCCUAUAUAGGCGCCGGUAGCGAUACCUACAAUGUGUUGAACAGAAUAAAUUGUGCAAAGAAAUUUCAUUAAAAAUGCACUUCGCUGUAAAAGGUUGUUGUGAUGCCUCGUGUAAGAAAGAGAAAUGCCUUUUAAUAUGUUUCUGAGUUUGAGAGAGGUAGAAUUGUAGCCCCAACCGGAUUUGCGGUUUAUUGUACCGCAGUAUUGCUCACGUCGGUCGAGAUCCCAUGGCUGUUAGCAGAAUAUGGAAUCGGUAGGUUCAGGACAGUGGUCAUACGGAACGAUGGUACUGUGUCUCAGGGGCAUGCUAUAACUAACAGCCGAGAAGACGAUAUGUUACCGCAUGGCCUUAAUGUAUCGUUUAGAAAUGGGGUCGUUUGCAAAUCAAAAAUUCCUUCACGAAGAGUUCGACUAAGAUUGCAGCAGGAUAAUGAACGACUGAAUGCUGACAGUAUGGUACAGACCUUCCUACAUAAGAUAAUGUUCGGCUGGUGCCCUGGCAAGCACGUUCUCCUAAUCUGUCAACAAUAGAAACGUCUGGUCAACGGUUGCCGAGCAAAUGGCUUGUUGAAACACACCAGUUAUUACUGUCGAUAAACUGUGACAUCGUGUUGAAGCUGCACGGUAUGCUGUUUCUCUUCGGCCAAGUUUUUAAAACCUUUAAAGCUCCGGAAGACCACUCUUCUCUUUAAGUAGUAGUGCCGCAGGUAAAGUGGCUCAAACUUCUUACCUGCACACAACUACUUACCUAGAAGUUGUUGGUCGUGUCCACCUACAGCCGAUGUGUUGAAGGUAAGUCGCUGAGGUGCAUUAGCGUGGCCUCACUACAACCUGCACAUCUACCCAGUAAUUGUUGGUCAUGUCUGCUUCAUCAGCCACAGCCGGCGUGUUGAAGGUAAGUCGCUGAGGUGCAUUAGCGUGGCCUCACUACAACCUUCACACCUACCCAGUAAUUGUUGGUCAUGUCUGCUUCAUUAGCCGGCGUUGUUGAAGGUAAGUCGCUGAGGUGCAUUAGCGCGGCCCCAGUACAACCUGCACACCUACCCAGUAAUUGUUGGUCAUGUCCACCUACAGCCGGCGUUGUUGAAGGUAAGUCGCUGAGGUGCAUUAGCGCGGCCUCACUACAACCUGCACACCUACCCAGUAAUUGUUGGUCAUGCCUACCUACAGCCGGCGUUGUUGAAGGUAAGUCGCUGAGGUGCAUUAGCGCGGCCUCACUACAACCUGCACACCUACCCAGUAAUUGUUGGUCAUGUCUGCUUCAUUAGCCGACGUUGUUGAAGGUAAGUCGCUGAGGUGCAUUAGCGUGGCCCCACUACAACCUGCACACCUACCCAGUAAUUGUUGGUUAUGUCUGCUUCAUUAGCCGGCGUUGUUAAAGGUAAGUCGCUGAGGUGCAUCAGCGCGGCCCCACUACAACCUGCACACCUACCCAGUAAUUGUUGGCCAUGUCUGCUUCAUCAGCCACAGCCGGCGUUGUUGAAGGUAAGUCGCUGAGGUGCAUAAGCGCGGCCCCAGUACAACCUGCACACAACUACUUACCUAGUAAUUGUUGGGCAUGUCUGCUUCAUCAGUCACAGCCAGUUUUGUUCCAGGUAAGUUGAUGUGUUUUUCAUUCUGAUUUGAUAUUUCCUCCGUUUUUAUGUCACUGAGAGUUCCAUGAUUAUGUAUGACGCUUCCACAAAAAAUAUCUCGUUAUUAUUUAGCUUCAGCUGUCCUAAUUAUUUUUGUGUAUGUGAUGGCAAAUAUGAAUUUAAAAAUAAGUCUGUGUAGACAACAAUCAAUCUGUCACCACUUUCUGAAUUGGGAAUUCCUAAGAGGUUCAAUCAUAUUUUCUUAAAAAUAGCUUUUCCUGAAGCUAUUGGGUUUGCGACGUCCAACAAGUUAUUGGUUAUGUAAUUUCCGCCGUUCAUAUUGGAGAAACAUAUAAGGAGCCUUUGCCAAAAUUAAUUCUUACUAAUCCUUCCAUAAGUUUUGAAUGAUGAGUAGCACCAAACUAGUUAAUUGUAACUGGUCUUCGAGGUAGAGCCUGGAUAUAUUUCCUUUAUUAAUCAAGUGACCAUAUAUUUGUCUAACAUUCUGUAAUAAUUUUAAAAAAUUAAAGUUUUAUUUAUUCUGACAGAUAGCGAAAUCCAUCAUCAACUUUCAUUUGCAGGUUCUGGAGAUGCUUUUCUUGACUUAUCAUGUAUUUGGUAGAAUUAUAAAGUAUGUUAAUUAACACGAUAUUAAUCUUUAAAAUAGUGUUUUUGUUUUAUUUAAGUAAGAAAUGAUUCCGUGUUGAAUUUCUCCCUCCGUUGUUCUCUCUGCUAAUAGCGAUAGGAACGCCACUAGGUCUGGUCACCUCUACAUCCCAAAGUGGUGAAACGCUCUGGAGCUGAAUUCAUCUAGAACAAGGUUUGAAGUUGGAAUAUAUGCAGUUUUACAUCCUAUUCGUCUUUUUAUCGUUUGUAUUUUAAAAUUUUAGUGUCAUAAAAACAAUGGCAAUCAAUCUUUCAGGAUAUCUCAUUUGAUAUGGCCGAUAUGGUGAAGUGUCCGCUACAGAAUGGACGGCGGCAGGGAGGGAGAGUUCACCGGACGGGGUCACCGCGCCCAGUGUAUGGGACUUCCUGUCACGGCACCGUGUCCCUGGGUGGAUCACUCUGAAGUCUAGAUUGUGUCAACUUUUAUAUAUCGCUGUGAAUAAAGUUAUCAGGAUACUUUUCGCACAAACAUUUACAAAAUAUUUUAUUAGGGCGCCCAAAAUUCUAUAAUUAUUUUCUAUGAUGAUGUUAUAAUAUAGACAUAACCUUUAUUUCAUGUUAAUUCAACAGCAGGUAAAUGCAUUUCUUAUAGCUGGUAUGAUGGAAGACUGUCUCUCCAAAUUAGUAUGAAAUACAUAAUGGGUAUAAAUUAGGACACUUCUCGCGUUCAUUAAUAAAAUCCAAAAGCUUCAAGUGCGCUAUUUAAAACCAUAAACUUGCUCUAUCUAUAUAAAGUAAUGAAAAUUUGACAGAGAAUUUCUCCUCAAACAGACAAGAGGUUUAUCUCCGAGCACGGAGUGAGGAUGAUAGAGGCCAGAAAGCCCUUGCAUCCUUUGGCCAUGGCCGUGUCAAUGGAAACUCGGUAAUCAGCCCUUACCUCCCUCAUCAUACAUGCUAGUAGAAUUUCCACCUUUGCCCACUCUGUUCACUUACCCAUAUAGAUUCGAACAGAAGCUGCACGAUCAUUAUUUCGCUCCAGAAGACUAAGUUAUCCAGCGGAGACCCCAGGAAGGCUACGCCUACAUCGAUCUUUCCUGACAGUUAAGAUAAACUGCCGUCCUUGGUCAUGUAUUUGCAAACACAUUUCUUUAGUGGACAUCGAUGUCUGUAAACCCAUGUAGACUCCUCUCAGUCGUCAUCUCGUGUCCCCAAUACUCUGCUGUCAUAUGAUAUAAAAUAGAACGAGAUCAAGUAAAAUUAAUAUAGUCGGUUGAGAUCUUACAUCCAUUUAGUGAAGAAGCUAUAUAAACCAGUUAUAAACAGGUUUUCAAAUCUCAAUAACAUUCUCUAGAUGGCUCACUUUAUCGAAAUAAGCUUGAGGUUAAUUCAAAACGUCCACAAUAAUAUUGAACCUUUAGAAUAUUUAUUGUUUAUAUAACAAAUGUUUUUUGAAUUGUUAUUAUUGAGUAUUUUGUUUAAUAAUUCUGUCUUUUACAGAUGUCACAGCCCGCCAUACAGCCAGUUACCACGUGGAUCCAAGGACUCCGCUGCUACAGUCGGCAACUACUGUAGUCCAACCUAGCGAACUUCAGAAAGUAAACAAAGACCUGAGGCCUAACGUGCCCUGAUGUUAGGGUGCUCAGGCGACCGAAAGAUCAUCUCCCACCCUCUUCCCAAUCUCAUCGACUCCCACUGGCGCCUUUCACACUUGGGGCCGUUGAGAUCAAGCUUUGCGGAGACAAAUCGCCGUCACUCUCCGUGGUGAGAUUUAACAUCGCUGGUCUAAUUUGGUCAUUCAACCAUCCAACUUCUAUUGGUGGUCAAAUAUAAAAUUCCGUCACUCUCUGGUAGAAGUCCGAAAUUUCACAUCGCAGGUCUAACUGGUCAUUUAACCACACAACUUCCAUACAGUGGUCGAAUACAAACCGCUACCAGUCUCUGGUAGAAGGUCGAGAAUUCACAUCGCAGGUCUAACUGGUCAUUUAACCACACAACUUCCAUACAGUGGUCGAAUACAAACCGCUACCAGUCUCUGGUAGAAGGUCGAGAAUUCACAUCGCAGGUCAACUUGGGGUCAGUUGGCCAUUUAUCCUCAUCAUAGGUGCUCGAAGACAAAUCACUUCUUCCUUGAGAGCCGAAACCUGCUGACGUCAAAUAUAAGGCUAUUACCAACCACUCCAAGCUUUCUAACUCCAGGGACCCCAGGCAAAUAGGACUGCCAACUCAAUCAUGCUUUUAUUAAUUCAGGAUGGACUCUCGAGGAGGUGUCGGUCAGCGCAAGUCAGCACGAGUUACUGAGCUCCGAGUGACAUUGUCUCUCUAUAGAAAAGGACCGCUAGAGGUGCAACCUAUUUCAUAAUAAGCUAUUCUUUAAGAGAAGAAGCCAUGGGGUUCUUGUAGAUCAAUAAAAAUUUUGUUAUAAAAAUCUAUUAAACAGAGAGUGAUUAUUUUGAAGUCAAAUUAUUUGGAAAAUACAUGAGCUGUUUUAAGCUUUUCAGUUAUGUAUGACGAAUGCUGUUUAUUUGUUAAUUGAACUGAUCUCCUACGUCAUUGGACGAAUGUGGCCAUGUUUGUGUAUAAAGUGGGUUCAAAGGGAAGACGUCUGCGAGUUAUGAUUGUGUGGAAAUGCUUAAAGCGUUCUCUGUGUCCGUGUCUGGUGAUUUCCUCGCAUACCUAUGUGUUCCGCUCUUUAUCAGCGCUGCAAUAAAAGAUGAGUAUUGGUCUUGUUAUAAAUAAUCGUGUUUUUUUUUAUUUAUACCUCCAUUUUUUUUUGUUCUUUUGAGUGUAAGCCUUUAUGUGUGUUGAGUUACUUUACUUUAGAUUCUAAUACCUUUUACUUAUUUGCAUAAAUCCCGUCUAGGUAACCUUUGUCAGGGAUCCCUUGCCUUCAGCCGCUGAUUAUGAAGUAAUUUUUGAACGCGGCAUGGAUUAGCUGCUAACGACCAGCUUUAUCAUCUCUUUUGCCAUCAGAACACCUCGGGCUUUAUACAUUGGAAUUGGUGUUUAGGAACAUUUGAGCGUAUUUAUUGCCACAACAAUCAUGUCAUCUGGGUUGGCUCUGCAUCAAUCCUUUCUUUGUAUUGUCGCUUCAGGGAUGAAUAAAUUGACUGAGAUCAAGGUCAAAUAUCUAUAUAAAAGUGGUGUCAUUUAUUCAGAAAUGAUGAUACAAUA